Molecule: ribosomal RNA, 2388 nt
Filed under: Citrobacter freundii
Lineage: Bacteria; Pseudomonadati; Pseudomonadota; Gammaproteobacteria; Enterobacterales; Enterobacteriaceae
Also listed under: 1 other name
Description: bacterial LSU rRNA
Rfam family: Bacterial large subunit ribosomal RNA
Source: RNAcentral
GUACGUACAAGCAGUGGGAGCAUCCUUCGGGGUGUGACUGCGUACCUUUUGUAUAAUGGGUCAGCGACUUAUAUUCUGUAGCAAGGUUAACCGAAUAGGGGAGCCGAAGGGAAACCGAGUCUUAACUGGGCGUUAAGUUGCAGGGUAUAGACCCGAAACCCGGUGAUCUAGCCAUGGGCAGGUUGAAGGUUGGGUAACACUAACUGGAGGACCGAACCGACUAAUGUUGAAAAAUUAGCGGAUGACUUGUGGCUGGGGGUGAAAGGCCAAUCAAACCGGGAGAUAGCUGGUUCUCCCCGAAAGCUAUUUAGGUAGCGCCUCGUGAAUUCAUCUUCGGGGGUAGAGCACUGUUUCGGCUAGGGGGUCAUCCCGACUUACCAACCCGAUGCAAACUGCGAAUACCGAAGAAUGUUAUCACGGGAGACACACGGCGGGUGCUAACGUCCGUCGUGAAGAGGGAAACAACCCAGACCGCCAGCUAAGGUCCCAAAGUCAUGGUUAAGUGGGAAACGAUGUGGGAAGGCACAGACAGCCAGGAUGUUGGCUUAGAAGCAGCCAUCAUUUAAAGAAAGCGUAAUAGCUCACUGGUCGAGUCGGCCUGCGCGGAAGAUGUAACGGGGCUAAACCAUGCACCGAAGCUGCGGCAGCGACACUAUGUGUUGUUGGGUAGGGGAGCGUUCUGUAAGCCGUUGAAGGUGUGUCGUGAGGCAUGCUGGAGGUAUCAGAAGUGCGAAUGCUGACAUAAGUAACGAUAAUGCGGGUGAAAAACCCGCACGCCGGAAGACCAAGGGUUCCUGUCCAACGUUAAUCGGGGCAGGGUGAGUCGACCCCUAAGGCGAGGCCGAAAGGCGUAGUCGAUGGGAAACAGGUUAAUAUUCCUGUACUUGGUGUUACUGCGAAGGGGGGACGGAGAAGGCUAUGUUAGCCGGGCGACGGUUGUCCCGGUUUAAGCAUGUAGGCGGAGGUUCCAGGUAAAUCCGGUACCUUUUAACGCUGAGGUGUGAUGACGAGGCACUACGGUGCUGAAGUAACAAAUGCCCUGCUUCCAGGAAAAGCCUCUAAGCAUCAGGUAACACGAAAUCGUACCCCAAACCGACACAGGUGGUCAGGUAGAGAAUACCAAGGCGCUUGAGAGAACUCGGGUGAAGGAACUAGGCAAAAUGGUGCCGUAACUUCGGGAGAAGGCACGCUGAUAUGUAGGUGAAGUGAUUUACUCAUGGAGCUGAAAUCAGUCGAAGAUACCAGCUGGCUGCAACUGUUUAUUAAAAACACAGCACUGUGCAAACACGAAAGUGGACGUAUACGGUGUGACGCCUGCCCGGUGCCGGAAGGUUAAUUGAUGGGGUUAUCCGUAAGGAGAAGCUCUUGAUCGAAGCCCCGGUAAACGGCGGCCGUAACUAUAACGGUCCUAAGGUAGCGAAAUUCCUUGUCGGGUAAGUUCCGACCUGCACGAAUGGCGUAAUGAUGGCCAGGCUGUCUCCACCCGAGACUCAGUGAAAUUGAACUCGCUGUGAAGAUGCAGUGUACCCGCGGCAAGACGGAAAGACCCCGUGAACCUUUACUAUAGCUUGACACUGAACACUGGUCCUUGAUGUGUAGGAUAGGUGGGAGGCUUUGAAGUGUGGACGCCAGUCUGCAUGGAGCCAUCCUUGAAAUACCACCCUUUAAUGGCUGGUGUUCUAACGUAGACCCGUUAUCCGGGUUGCGGACAGUGUCUGGUGGGUAGUUUGACUGGGGCGGUCUCCUCCUAAAGAGUAACGGAGGAGCACGAAGGUUAGCUAAUCCUGGUCGGACAUCAGGAGGUUAGUGCAAAGGCAUAAGCUAGCUUGACUGCGAGAGUGACGGCUCGAGCAGGUGCGAAAGCAGGUCUUAGUGAUCCGGUGGUUCUGAAUGGAAGGGCCAUCGCUCAACGGAUAAAAGGUACUCCGGGGAUAACAGGCUGAUACCGCCCAAGAGUUCAUAUCGACGGCGGUGUUUGGCACCUCGAUGUCGGCUCAUCACAUCCUGGGGCUGAAGUAGGUCCCAAGGGUAUGGCUGUUCGCCAUUUAAAGUGGUACGCGAGCUGGGUUUAGAACGUCGUGAGACAGUUCGGUCCCUAUCUGCCGUGGGCGCUGGAGAAUUGAGGGGGGCUGCUCCUAGUACGAGAGGACCGGAGUGGACGCAUCACUGGUGUUCGGGUUGUCAUGCCAAUGGCAUUGCCCGGUAGCUAAAUGCGGAAGAGAUAAGUGCUGAAAGCAUCUAAGCACGAAACUUGCCCCGAGAUGAGUUCUCCCUGACCCUUUAAGGGUCCUGAAGGAACGUUAAAGACGAUGACGUUGAUAGGUCGGGUGUGUAAGUGUAGCGAUACAUUGAGCUAACCGAUACUAAUGAACCGUGAGGCUUAACCUU